This 439-nucleotide ribosomal RNA is filed under the name uncultured bacterium. Its description in RNAcentral is "partial 16S ribosomal RNA". It matches the Rfam family "Bacterial small subunit ribosomal RNA", at positions 339 to 795 of the family's 1533-position model. The record is from RNAcentral.
CUACGGGCCGCUGCAGUGAGGAAUAUUGCACAAUGGGGGAAACCCUGAUGCAGCAACGCCGCGUGGAGGAUGACGCAUUUCGGUGUGUAAACUCCUUUUAUCAGAGAAGAAAAUGACGGUAUCUGAUGAAUAAGCUCCGGCUAACUCCGUGCCAGCAGCCGCGGUAAUACGGAGGGAGCAAGCGUUAUUCGGAAUCACUGGGCGUAAAGGACGCGUAGGCGGGUUUUUAAGUCAGGUGUGAAAUCCUAUGGCUCAACCAUAGAACUGCACUUGAAACUGGGGACCUAGAGUAUGGAAGGGGCAGGUGGAAUUAGUGGUGUAGGGGUAAAAUCCGUAGAUAUCACUAGGAAUACCGAAAGCGAAGGCGACCUGCUGGGACAUUACUGACGCUGAGGCGUGAAAGCGUGGGGAGCAAACAGGAUUAGAUACCCCCGUAGUC